Molecule: ribosomal RNA, 480 nt
Filed under: uncultured bacterium
Lineage: Bacteria
Description: bacterial SSU rRNA
Rfam family: Bacterial small subunit ribosomal RNA
Source: RNAcentral
GAUGAACGCUGGCGGCGUGCCUAAUACAUGCAAGUCGGACGCACUAAUUUAUUAGUGAGUGGCGAACGGGUGAGUAACACGUAGGUAAUCUACCUUUAAGACGAGGAUAACCAUUGGAAACGAUGGCUAAGACUGGAUAGGAAUAUGUAAGGCAUCUUAUAUAUUUUAAAAGACCUAGCAAUAGGUAUACUUAAAGAGGAGCCUGCGGCGCAUUAGUUAGUUGGUGAGGUGAUGGCUUACCAAGACAGUGAUGCGUAGCCGGACUGAGAGGUUGAACGGCCACAUUGGGACUGAGACACGGCCCAAACUCCUACGGGAGGCAGCAGUAGGGAAUUUUCGGCAAUGGGGGCAACCCUGACCGAGCAACGCCGCGUGAAUGACGAAGUACUUCGGUAUGUAAAGUUCUUUUAUUAGGGAGAAUGACUUGUGGAAAAGCAAGUGUGACGGUACCUAAUGAAUAAAGCCCCGGCUAACUAUGUG